AGUGAACGCUGGCGGUAGGCCUAACUCAUGCAAGUCGAACGGCAGCACAGUAAGAGCUUGCUCUUACGGGUGGCGAGUGGCGGACGGGUGAGGAAUACAUCGGAAUCUACUUUUUCGUGGGGGAUAACGUAGGGAAACUUACGCUAAUACCGCAUACGACCUACGGGUGAAAGCAGGGGAUCUUCGGACCUUGCGCGAUUGAAUGAGCCGAUGUCGGAUUAGCUAGUUGGCGGGGUAAAGGCCCACCAAGGCGACGAUCCGUAGCUGGCCUGAGAGGAUGAUCAGCCACACUGGAACUGAGACACGGUCCAGACUCCUACGGGAGGCAGCAGUGGGGAAUAUUGGACAAUGGGCGCAAGCCUGAUCCAGCCAUACCGCGUGGGUGAAGAAGGCCUUCGGGUUGUAAAGCCCUUUUGUUGGGAAAGAAAAGCAGCAGGUUAAUACCCCGCUGUUCUGACGGUACCCAAAGAAUAAGCACCGGCUAACUUCGUG
This 492-nucleotide ribosomal RNA is filed under the name uncultured bacterium. RNAcentral's name for it is "partial 16S ribosomal RNA". It matches the Rfam family "Bacterial small subunit ribosomal RNA", at positions 29 to 507 of the family's 1533-position model. The record is from RNAcentral.